This is a long non-coding RNA of Octopus sinensis (East Asian common octopus), 122 nucleotides long. RefSeq lists it as uncharacterized. NCBI's taxonomy places the organism in Eukaryota, Metazoa, Mollusca, Cephalopoda, Octopoda, Octopodidae. The transcript is spliced from 3 exons. The record is from RefSeq and is a predicted model, not a curated record.
AAGAAUCAAUUACAAAAUCCUAGCUGUCACCAGCAGAACAGUUUUUUGAGUUUGCUCUGCUCUCAUGUCAAUUCCUAUUUCUCUGACAUACUUCUCGAACUUGAAUGUUAGUGAUCCGAGUG